UACGUAGGUGGCAAGCGUUGUCCGGAUUUACUGGGCGUAAAGAGCGCGCAGGCGGUCGGAUCAGUCGAAUGUGAAAGCCCCCGGCUCAACUGGGGAGGGUCAUUCGAUACUGUCCGACUCGAAGGCAGGAGAGGGAAGCGGAAUUCCCGGUGUAGUGGUGAAAUGCGUAGAUAUGCGGAGGAACACCGAUGGCGAAGGCAAUCCCCUGGGCCUGCACUGACGCUCAUGCACGAAAGCGUGGGGAGCAAACAGG
This 253-nucleotide ribosomal RNA is filed under the name uncultured bacterium. RNAcentral describes it as "partial 16S ribosomal RNA". It matches the Rfam family "Bacterial small subunit ribosomal RNA", at positions 524 to 776 of the family's 1533-position model. The record is from RNAcentral.